RNAcentral lists this ribosomal RNA (574 nucleotides) under uncultured bacterium. RNAcentral describes it as "bacterial SSU rRNA". It matches the Rfam family "Bacterial small subunit ribosomal RNA", at positions 97 to 685 of the family's 1533-position model. The record is from RNAcentral.
GGCGGACGGGUGAGUAACGCGUAAGGAACUUGCCUCUUGGACUGGGACAACUGUUGGAAACGACAGCUAAUACCGGAUAUUAUGAGAUUCUCGCAUGAGAAAUUUAUGAAAGCUAUAUGCGCCAAGAGAGAGCCUUGCGUUCCAUUAGCUAGUUGGUGGGGUAACGGCCCACCAAGGCGACGAUGGAUAGCCGGCCUGAGAGGGUGAACGGCCACAAGGGGACUGAGACACGGCCCUUACUCCUACGGGAGGCAGCAGUGGGGAAUAUUGGACAAUGGGCCACAAGCCUGAUCCAGCAAUUCUGUGUGCACGAUGAAGGUCUUCGGAUUGUAAAGUGCUUUCAGUUGGGAAGAAGAAAGUGACGGUACCAACAGAAGAAGCGACGGCUAAAUACGUGCCAGCAGCCGCGGUAAUACGUAUGUCGCAAGCGUUAUCCGGAUUUAUUGGGCGUAAAGCGCGUCUAGGCGGAAAAAUAAGUCUGAUGUUAAAAUGCGGGGCUCAACUCCGUAUUGCGUUGGAAACUGUUUUUCUAGAGUACUGGAGAGGUGGGCGGAACUACAAGUGUAGAGGUGAA